UGGGGAAUAUUGGACAAUGGGCGCAAGCCUGAUCCAGCCAUGCCGCGUGAGUGAUGAAGGCCCUAGGGUUGUAAAGCUCUUUCGCCAGGGACGAUAAUGACGGUACCUGGAUAAGAAGUCCCGGCUAACUCCGUGCCAGCAGCCGCGGUAAUACAUAGGGUGCAAGCGUUGUCCGGAAUUAUUGGGCGUAAAGAGCUCGUAGGUGGUUGGACACGUCGGAUGUGAAAACUGGGGGCUCAACCCCCAGCC
This 249-nucleotide ribosomal RNA is filed under the name uncultured organism. RNAcentral's name for it is "partial 16S ribosomal RNA". It matches the Rfam family "Bacterial small subunit ribosomal RNA", at positions 355 to 621 of the family's 1533-position model. The record is from RNAcentral.